This is a long non-coding RNA of Megalobrama amblycephala (Wuchang bream), 1444 nucleotides long. RefSeq lists it as uncharacterized. Lineage: Eukaryota; Metazoa; Chordata; Actinopteri; Cypriniformes; Xenocyprididae. The record is from RefSeq and is a predicted model, not a curated record. The transcript is spliced from 3 exons.
CUGACUUUCACGUGAGUGCACCAAUAAUGCCCUCUAGGGGCCUGGACCAUUGAAACACACUAAUGAGCGCUGAAUGCUGUCGAAACCAGACGUGCUGCUGUGCCUGAUCACACUGCUUGAUGAGCACUGGAAGGUCCUUACAAUUCUGCCCUCCUUUUGGGAACUGUUUCCCACAUAAUUGGUAGUUUCUAACUAAAUCUUAAGAAAUCGAGGUUAUGACAUCAGCAACGGCAACGUGUUCCGUGUCCUGGUUAAAAUUGCUUAUUUCUCUGGAUUUAAGCAUUCUUGGAAACAUUUGGGAUAAUGAGCUGGAUUGGACACCCCUGCUCUAAACAUUCAUUUUGUAACCAGCUUCAGUCUCAUACACCUUUCGACAUGCGAAUUCCACCGCUGACUUGUGCUCCUCUGUCCUGUAGGCUUCUAAAGCAUUGCAGGAUCACAACGGUGCCACUACAACAUGGUGGCUUUUCACACAUGAUUAGUUCUGCCAUCAGCAGCAGGUCUGAGGCAGGAGCACCAGCUUUCCUAAGCAGAUUUUGUCCUGUAGCUGACCCAUCAUUAGGCCCUAAUAAUCUAGUCCUUCACCGAGACCAGCAGCUGAGUCCGCCAAACCACGGCCGAGCCUGGGAAAUGCAGCUCCCAGCCGUGUCUAGUCUUGACGACAGCAGGGCUGCUGGAGGUCCUGAUAAAUAGCGACGGGAGUCAUAUUUGGGACACAAUGACAAGUUGUCCUCUAUCAUUAGUGCCGUGUGGGUGCCGAUAGGUGUAGAGCCGGGGAGCGGGGCACGCAGAUGGUACUGCCAGCACCUCUCGCUGUAGGAAUGGCAAUGAGAGAACUCUGUUGCCGUGUGUUGUAGCUCAUCAGCCCUGAAUCGCAUGUGUUAGCUAGAAGAUGUGAUGUACUAAACUGUGCCAUUGUGGUUGAUAAUCCAAAAUCUCUAUUGUACAACUAUCACAUUCCUUUUAAACAAAAACGCUAGUUUUUUUCCUAAAAUUAAUUUAAAAAACUGCAAUUCAUACAGUGACUUGAAUGCACCUCUUCUACAUAGAAUUAUUAGUUUCUUAGGGGGGGAAAACCCCUUAUUAAGUAGUUUGGAAUAAUCUUUUAUCAUCUCAUAGAAAAAGAAAAUUAACAACUUUUUCAAUGUCUAUUAAUAUUGAAUACUGAAUACUGUGUUAGUCAAAUCAGAGUCAUGUGGUGCGACCAAAAGCUGAAAAAGAAGAAGCAGGAAAUGAUGUCACAGAGACGAUGCAGAUACUCAUGACUGUCAAGGUCAAUGAGUCUCUUAACAUAUUAGAUAAUUCAACUUUUUUAUGCCAAGGCAAAGUUAGUUCAGUUUAUGAAAAACAUUCUCCAAAAAUGCAACAAUAUGAAUUGAUAAUUCGAGAUGGUUAUAGGAAAUACGUUUUAAAUGUAUUUAAAAUGACGAAUAAGAUGUGUGCA